RNAcentral lists this ribosomal RNA (451 nucleotides) under Geocharax gracilis. Its description in RNAcentral is "partial 16S large subunit ribosomal RNA". It matches the Rfam family "Archaeal large subunit ribosomal RNA", at positions 2009 to 2660 of the family's 2987-position model. Lineage: Eukaryota; Metazoa; Arthropoda; Malacostraca; Decapoda; Parastacidae. The record is from RNAcentral.
CGCGGUAUUUUGACCGUGCGAAGGUAGCAUAAUCAUUAGUCUUUUAAUUGAAGGCUUGUAUGAAGGGUUGGACGAGAAAUUAGCUGUCUUUGGAUGAGAAAUAAAAUUUAACUUUUAAGUGAAAGGGCUUAAAUGUUCUAAAGGGACGAUAAGACCCUAUAAAGUUUGACAUUUUAUUUUUUGGUGAGUGAGUUAGAAUAAUUAAAGUUUAUUAAAGAGUUAGAUGUUUUGUUGGGGCGACAAAAAUAUAAAUAAUUUAACUGUUUUUAUGUAGUUACAAAGAUAAUUGAAUUUGUGGUCCUUAUUAAAGAGUGAAGAGUAAAUUACUUUAGGGAUAACAGCGUAAUUUUUUUUGAGAGUUCGUAUCGACAAAAAAGUUUGCGACCUCGAUGUUGAAUUAAAGAUUCUUUGUAAUGAAGCAGUUAUAAAAGAGGGUCUGUUCGACCUUUAA